GUAGGGAAUCUUCCGCAAUGGACGAAAGUCUGACGGAGCAACGCCGCGUGAGCGAAGAAGGCCUUCGGGUCGUAAAGCUCUGUUGUUAGGGAAGAACAAGUAUCGGAGUAACUGCCGGUACCUUGACGGUACCUAACCAGAAAGCCACGGCUAACUACGUGCCAGCAGCCGCGGUAAUACGUAGGUGGCAAGCGUUGUCCGGAAUUAUUGGGCGUAAAGCGCGCGCAGGCGGUUCCUUAAGUCUGAUGUGAAAGCCCCCGGCUCAACCGGGGAGGGUCAUUGGAAACUGGGGAACUUGAGUGCAGAAGAGAAGAGCGGAAUUCCACGUGUAGCGGUGAAAUGCGUAGAGAUGUGGAGGAACACCAGUGGCGAAGGCGGCUCUUUGGUCUGUAACUGACGCUGAGGCGCGAAAGCGUGGGGAGCAAACAGGAUUAGAUACCCCUGUAGUCC
This 450-nucleotide ribosomal RNA is filed under the name uncultured bacterium. RNAcentral describes it as "bacterial SSU rRNA". It matches the Rfam family "Bacterial small subunit ribosomal RNA", at positions 354 to 796 of the family's 1533-position model. The record is from RNAcentral.